RNAcentral lists this ribosomal RNA (91 nucleotides) under Trichoderma harzianum. Lineage: Eukaryota; Fungi; Ascomycota; Sordariomycetes; Hypocreales; Hypocreaceae. The record is from RNAcentral.
ACAUACGACCAUAGGUAGUGGAGAAUUCGGGGUCUCGUCUGCUCCCCCAGAGACAAGCCACUAACCGGCAGAUUAGUAGUUGAGUGGGAGA